CGCACAAAGCAGACACAACGAAGGAUCACUUCUUGUUCAAGGCAGGAAAGGUUUUGCAGUACGCAGUCUACUGUCCCGCAGCUGCUGCCUCUCUGUUGGACUCCGGUACUGCACCUUACUCACGGGACGUUGAAAAAAAAAAAUGGGUGGGAGACGAACGCAGUAACCACUCCGCCAACGCCACAGUCACCCCCGUCGUGCGGUCCGGAUGUGGCCCGCGGGCCGCCAGUUGGUGAUCACUGACCUCCUUCUGUUCCCCUUCUGUGUUUGUUUUUGUCUGUCUGUCUUCCUGGCUGGGCGUGGCUGACCUAAUUCCGAUUCCCGCCAACUCACCUCCUCAGCUGCUGCUCACCUCUCUGAUUACAACUACUCACCUACACCUGCAUAUAUAAUCGGUUUCUUCAUCCAGUAUGCACCAGUUCGUCGUCUAAUCACAUUGUAUCCAUCAACCUGCUCCUCUGCCUGCCGCGUCCAGCCACCAUCCCUCCAGCUGUGUUCCUCCGUGCUUCCACGCACACCUGCCCCCCAGCCUGCUUGCUCUCGUCAGCUCUGGAUCCCCGGCACACCUCGCCUGUGUUCCGCCGCGCUUCUCCGCACACCUGCUCCAGCCUGCUCGCUCUCGCCAACUCCGGAUCCCCGUCUUCGGUCCUCCGCUCCUCCUCUGAGACACUCCCUGGUCCUGGACUUGUUGGAAUAUAAAUCCCCUCUUCAGUUCAGUCUCAAGCCUGUUUUUGGAUAUUAAACCCUUUUGGCUUCAUAA
Molecule: long non-coding RNA, 760 nt
Organism: Gymnodraco acuticeps
Lineage: Eukaryota; Metazoa; Chordata; Actinopteri; Perciformes; Bathydraconidae
Exons: 2
Source: RefSeq, a predicted model, not a curated record